AUUGAACGCUGGCGGCAUGCCUUACACAUGCAAGUCGAACGGUAACAGGUCUUCGGAUGCUGACGAGUGGCGAACGGGUGAGUAAUACAUCGGAACGUGCCUAGUAGUGGGGGAUAACUACUCGAAAGAGUGGCUAGUACCGCAUGCGAUCUACGGAUGAAAGCAGGGGAUCGCAAGACCUUGUGCUACUAGACCGGCCGAUGGCAGAUUAGGUAGUUGGUGGGAUAAAAGCUUACCAAGCCGACGAUCUGUAGCUGGUGUGAGAGGACGAUCAGCCACACUGGGACUGAGACACGGCCCAGACUCCUACGGGACGCAGCAGUGGGGAAUUGUGGACAAUGGGCGAAAGCCUGAUCCAGCAAUGCCGCGUGCAGGAUGAAGGCCUUCUGGUUGUAAACUGCUUUUGUACGGAACGAAAAGCCCCGGGUUAAUACCCUGGGGUCAUGACGGUACCGUAAGAAUAAGCACCGGCUAACUACGUGCCAGCCGCCGCCGUAA
RNAcentral lists this ribosomal RNA (498 nucleotides) under uncultured bacterium. RNAcentral describes it as "partial 16S ribosomal RNA". It matches the Rfam family "Bacterial small subunit ribosomal RNA", at positions 30 to 523 of the family's 1533-position model. The record is from RNAcentral.